CAGCAAGUUAAAGGUUUAAGCCCUCGAUAAUAGUGUAUUUGCAACAGCCAUAUUAAUCUCUUAAUCCAAUUGUACUUGUCUAUUGGUGACUGGUAAAGGUGGUCAGUUUUAAUUGAUUGAUAAUUGAGGGUAAGGAUCACAGCACAAAGUAAAGUUCCUAACAUUACUGUACAAUAAUUUAUCCAACUGUAACAAUGUGACAAAAAACAGGGUCACAUGAUAUUUUUUUCACACACUCACAAGAUAACAGUUAAUGCCCAGUUGUUUUCAUGUCCAUUUUAUAGUAAAUAAAAUUGACCAACAACAUUUUGAAUUUAGUUCUUAGCAAAUGCAUUAUAUGUGGGUUACAAAGUGGCUACAGAAGACAAUUAUUUGAGAGAGCCAAUGGUAUAAUAACCAAGAAUAUCUUGCAAGUUGGACAUGAGGCAAAACAGACAUACUUGAUGUUUAAUUCAGAGACUUUAUCCAGUUGAUGAACUGGUGGGUUACAAAGUGGCUACGGAAGACAAUUAUUAGAGAAUAUGUUGAAAGUUGCACAUGAAGCAAAACAGAAAUUCAGAGACUUUAUUCAGUUGAUAAACUAG
This is a long non-coding RNA of Ruditapes philippinarum (Manila clam), 584 nucleotides long. RefSeq lists it as uncharacterized. The record is from RefSeq and is a predicted model, not a curated record. The transcript has 3 exons. Lineage: Eukaryota; Metazoa; Mollusca; Bivalvia; Venerida; Veneridae.